UUUCCGUAGGUGAACCUGCGGAAGGAUCAUUCAUAAUAAGUGUUUUAUGGCACUUUUUUAAAUCCAUAUCCACCUUGUGUGCAAUGUCAGAGUUGAUUUUUCUCUCGAGAGGAUCAACCCCAAACAUCAACUAUAUCUCAACUCUUUGUCUGAAAAAUAUUAUGAAUAAGACAAUUCAAAAUACAACUUUCAACAACGGAUCUCUUGGCUCUC
RNAcentral lists this unclassified non-coding RNA (213 nucleotides) under plant metagenome. Its description in RNAcentral is "partial contains small subunit ribosomal RNA, internal transcribed spacer 1, and 5.8S ribosomal RNA". The record is from RNAcentral.